Molecule: long non-coding RNA, 1155 nt
Filed under: Hordeum vulgare
Lineage: Eukaryota; Viridiplantae; Streptophyta; Magnoliopsida; Poales; Poaceae
Description: long non-coding RNA (HVUL_LNC016332)
Source: RNAcentral
GGCCCUUCGCAGAGGGAAGCAGAGAUUUGUAGCGGUGACAGAGCUCAAAGUGAAAAACUUAGAGAUAAAAUAUUUUGGAUAGUAUGCUUUUCCUAUCAACAAAAACAACUAAGAGUUCUCAAUAUCUUCCAUGCUAAACAAAUCAUAAGCGGUUCCCAAACUGAAAAUAAAGUUUAUUCCUUUUCCAUCAUUAUUUCACAUUUCACGGCUAUCCACAUCCACGGGUACCGUCCAUACCAAUAUUUUUCAAGAAAUUUAUUAUUUGACAACAUAAAAUAAAUUUUCUUUGCAUUUCAGGACUAGGCAUCCCGAUUACCGCCAUACCCUCGUGCAAUGACAAGUGAAUGAACAAUCUCUUGAAAAUAACCAUGUAACUCCGUGUUUAUGAUAGAUACAGAAAGCAUCUCCAGAGCACGAGACGUAGGUCUGUUAUCUUCAUCGUGAGAGGUCCGAACUCGCUAAAACACUCGUGUCAUCCAUUUACAUCUCGAUAGAUCAUGCUCAUUUAUCUUACCCUUUUCUAUUAUCGAAAUCAAUACCACGGCACCAAGCGCAAGCCCUGUUCAUCCAGCUACUUCGUGUCUCGGCAAACACCAACCACCAUGCAUCCCUUUCACCCUUUCCAUUCCAAAUUCCAAUGCCCCCACUCGGCGGCUCUCGACGGCUUCUCGUCGCCAAAAAAAAAAAGGAGCCCUAUCUUCUCUCUGCCACCCGAUCGAGCCCAAAAGCCGGCAGAGAGAUAGAGAAACAAGGUCGAAAUGCGCUUUCUGAUCAGCUUCUACUCGUACUAUCGUUGAUCAUGUGGGAUUCAUACGCCUUUGAGGGGAAGGAGCAGGCUCACGCAAAAGCAGGCGCACCGAGCGCGAAAGGUGGGGGCGACGGUGGGAGGUGACACGAUGCAUGCAUGAUCCGGGGGCGUCGAGAUAAGCAUACGUGCUGGUCUCGUCUGGCUUCGAUCGGUUCUACCGUUUCCUUAGCCGUGUGUACGUAUGCUUCGAUCGGUCCUGCGUGAGAUCAUCCAACCUUUUCUUUCCAGCCGACAGCCCACGAUUAUGUUUUCUAAUCGGCGAAAGACGAAAGUGGUCAAGAAAGGUCUAUAUGAGUCGUCGUACUGUGGAUACCCUUUGUGAUGAGUCUAUAAUAUUAUGCAUGUAC